RNAcentral lists this ribosomal RNA (460 nucleotides) under uncultured bacterium. RNAcentral's name for it is "partial 16S ribosomal RNA". It matches the Rfam family "Bacterial small subunit ribosomal RNA", at positions 338 to 795 of the family's 1533-position model. The record is from RNAcentral.
CCUACGGGUGGCUGCAGUGAGGAAUAUUGGUCAAUGGACGCAAGUCUGAACCAGCCAUGCCGCGUGCAGGAAGACGGCUCUAUGAGUUGUAAACUGCUUUUGUACGAGGGUAAACGCAGAUACGCGUAUCUGUCUGAAAGUAUCGUACGAAUAAGGAUCGGCUAACUCCGUGCCAGCAGCCGCGGUAAUACGGAGGAUUCAAGCGUUAUCCGGAUUUAUUGGGUUUAAAGGGUGCGUAGGCGGUCGGAUAAGUUAGAGGUGAAAUCCCGAGGCUCAACUUCGGAAUUGCCUCUGAUACUGUGAGGCUAGAGAGUAGUUGCGGUAGGCGGAAUGUACGGUGUAGCAGUGAAAUGCUUAGAGAUCAUACAGAACACCGAUGGCGAAGGCAGCUUACCAAGCUACUUCUGACGUUGAGGCACGAAAGCGUGGGGAGCGAACGGGAUUAGAUACCCCAGUAGUC